This is a small nuclear RNA of Rhinopithecus bieti (black snub-nosed monkey), 103 nucleotides long. The record is from Ensembl. Lineage: Eukaryota; Metazoa; Chordata; Mammalia; Primates; Cercopithecidae.
GUGCUUGCUUUGGCAGCACAUACAUUAAAACUGGAACAACACAGAGAUUGCAUGGCUUCUGUGCAGGGAUGACAUGCAAAUCUGUGAAGAGCGCUUUCAGGUA